GGAUCAGAUACCCUGGUAGUUCACGCCGUAAACGAUGUCUACUAGUUGUCGGUGGUCUUGUACUGCUGGUAACGCAGCUAACGCGAUAAGUAGACCGCCUGGGGAGUACGGCCGCAAGGUUAAAACUCAAAUGAAUUGACGGGGGCCCGCACAAGCGGUGGAGCAUGUGGUUUAAUUCGAAGCAACGCGAAGAACCUUACCUGGCCUUGACAUCCUGCGAACUUUCUAGAGAUAGAUUGGUGCCUUCGGGAACGCAGAGACAGGUGCUGCAUGGCUGUCGUCUCGUGCCGCUG
This 293-nucleotide ribosomal RNA is filed under the name uncultured bacterium. RNAcentral describes it as "partial 16S ribosomal RNA". It matches the Rfam family "Bacterial small subunit ribosomal RNA", at positions 775 to 1070 of the family's 1533-position model. The record is from RNAcentral.